This is a long non-coding RNA of Lonchura striata (white-rumped munia), 2008 nucleotides long. The record is from Ensembl. NCBI's taxonomy places the organism in Eukaryota, Metazoa, Chordata, Aves, Passeriformes, Estrildidae.
GUGCGGCGGAGCUGAGACCCCGCGGGAGGGACCCCGGCUCCGGGCUGGGGUCGGGGGUUUGGGGAGGAAGAUCCAGCCUGGGGCCGGCAGGGCUGCCUCCGUUCCCCGGGGGUUUCGGGAGGGGACAAGGCAGCCCUGGGGUCCGGCCGAGCGCGGAGGAGGAGGAAGGCGGCGGGGCAGGUGAAGGCCGAACCUUUCUUCACAUUCCCCGCCGUUUCCUCUAGCCAAAAUCCUUGUAUUUUUAUAUUAAAAAUUAUACUUUAAAAAAAAAAUUAUUUUCCCUAGCUCCGGCCCGAAAUUACCCGUGGUUGUGGAGCCUCCUGGUGCUGGGAAAUGCUCCUGGUAGUGGCAAAAACCCCCCCCAAAACCCCCAAACGACAACAACAAAAAAACCCAGAAAAGCCCCACAUCAAAAUUCCAACAAAUCCUUCACGGCACGAGGGCAUCGGCGGGAUGUGGAGCAGGUUUUGUGUGUAGGGAUGUGUGCGGAGAGAGGGAGAAUCGAAAUAAGAAAAUACACAGAGAGAAGAGAUUCGGGGAGGAAAAAUAAAGCAGAAGGAAAAGGGAAAUAAAAGAAAAAGCACAGGAGGAAAAGGAGAAAAUGUAUACAGGAAAAAAAAAAAAGAGAGAGAAAGGGAAAGGAAGAGAGAGAGAGAAUGAGGAAAAAUAAAUUAAUGAAAACGAAAAAGGAAGGAACUAAGAAGAGACAGAGGAAAACCACAGAAAAAUGAAGGGACAAAAAAGGAGAAAGGCAAAGAAGCAAAUAAAGAAGGAAUAAAGGAACGAAAGAAAAAAAAUACACAGAAAUAAUGAAGGCAAGGAAGAAGAUGGGAAAAAAAAAUGAAGGAAAAAGAAGGGGAAAGGAAAAAUAAACGGAGGAAAGAAAUAAAAAGACAGAAAAAAAAAAUGAAGGAAAAAGAAGGGGAAAGGAAAAAUAAACGGAGGAAAGAAAUAAAAAGACAGAAAGAACGGCUAGAAUAGAAAAGAAUGGAAACCAAAAGGGAAGGGCGAAGGAAAAGCUCCAGAGCGAGGGAACAAGGAAGAGGAGGAGGAAGAAAAGAAAACAAAGACAGAAGGAAAAAAGGCCAGGGAAGAGAGAAGAAAGGAAAUGAAAACUGCAGCGCAUUAAAAAGGGGAGAAACGGGCAAGAGAGGCGAAGGCACGGGAAGGGUAAUGCGUGGAGAAGCAGCGUCGCUUAUACAAGAUGUUGAUGGAAUUUACUAUAUUAUUAAAGGAAAAAAAAAAAAUCCCCUUUCAAGAAUAAAGUGUAUCAACUUACAACACAACAGACGGCAGAGGGAUAAGUGAAACAGACAAAAGACAAACAAGAUAAUAAUCUGUUUCCAAUCAGUUAAGCCCUGUAGAAUUUGUAAUACGCGGUUUGCAUAUUCCCCCUGCGUUUUGUAAUUAAUUAUCUAUCUGUUCGGAUGCUCCGCCGCCGACUCUGUAGAUAUUACCAACUAUUUUUGGGGUUGUAGGCGGUGAUCGCGCCGGGGAAGGAGCGCGGAGCGGGGCCGGGCUCCGCGGCUCCGGCCGGCCCGAGGAUGCCGAGCCGGGCGCGGUGGGAGGCGGCGGCUCCGCGGCGCUCCGCGCUCCUCCGGGCGGGCGAGGCUGCUCCCCCCGCGCUCCCCUCCUUUCCCCUGGUAAGAGGGGGGACGGGGCAGGUUUUAACAUUAAACAAACCCAGCAAGCAUCUCCUCGCCGGGCCAUAGGCGUUUCUGAGUGACUGCGUUACAAAUUGUAAAUUUAAAUAGCUCACAGGAUUCAUUACCUCCCGCGUCUGAUUUCACCCAGCCGUGAAAAAUUGUCCUGGUGUACCACUGAGAAAGGGUUUGCUGCAAAGAGCCACAGUCUAAUCACCAGCUUUCUCUCGCCAACAAAAGUGUAAUUAUUUUGUUUUGGGUGUAAAUAUAACCCACGGUACAAAAAAAAAAAAAAAAAAAAAAAAAAAAAAAAAAAAAAAAAAAAAAAAAAANGGGAAAAAAAAAAGAUAAACCUCCAGCAGCGU